This 211-nucleotide ribosomal RNA is filed under the name uncultured Porphyrobacter sp. Its description in RNAcentral is "partial 16S ribosomal RNA". It matches the Rfam family "Bacterial small subunit ribosomal RNA", at positions 1171 to 1382 of the family's 1533-position model. Lineage: Bacteria; Pseudomonadati; Pseudomonadota; Alphaproteobacteria; Sphingomonadales; Erythrobacteraceae. The record is from RNAcentral.
AAGUGGGGAUGACGUCAAGUCCUCAUGGCCCUUACAGGCUGGGCUACACACGUGCUACAAUGGCAUCUACAGUGGGCAGCUAUUCCGCAAGGAUGCGCUAAUCUCCAAAAGAUGUCUCAGUUCGGAUUGUCCUCUGCAACUCGAGGGCAUGAAGGCGGAAUCGCUAGUAAUCGCGGAUCAGCAUGCCGCGGUGAAUACGUUCCCAGGCCUU